Molecule: ribosomal RNA, 497 nt
Filed under: uncultured bacterium
Lineage: Bacteria
Description: partial 16S ribosomal RNA
Rfam family: Bacterial small subunit ribosomal RNA
Source: RNAcentral
GAUGAACGCUGGCGGCGUGCCUAAUACAUGCAAGUCGAGCGAACAGACGAGGAGCUUGCUCCUUCGACGUUAGCGGCGGACGGGUGAGUAACACGUAGGUAACCUACCUAUAAGACUGGGAUAACUUCGGGAAACCGGAGCUAAUACCGGAUAAUAUUUCGAACCGCAUGGUUCGAUAGUGAAAGAUGGCUUUGCUAUCACUUUUAGAUGGACCUGCGCCGUAUUAGAUAGUUGGUAAGGUAACGGCUUACCAAGGCAACGAUACGUAGCCGACCUGAGAGGGGGAUCGGCCAAACUGGAAGUGAGAAACGGUCAAGACGCCGACGGGAGGAAGAAGAAGGGAAUAUUCCGCAAUGGGCGAAAGCGUGACGGAGCAACGCCGCGUGAGUGAUGAAGGACUUCGGAUCGUAAAAAUCUGUUAUUAGGGAAGAAAAAAAGUGUAAGUAACUGUGCACGUCUUGACGGUAACUAAUCAGAAAGCCACGGCUAACUACGUG